AUGACUACCAUGGCUGACAAAAUGGACAUGUUUGGAAGACAUCAUUAAGCUGAACAAGAUGCAGCAAGGACUUCGUGACAGGCCUGAUUCCCGGGUGAAGCGAGGCACUGGGCCUAAGAGAUAUCGGCCAGCUUUCACCCAUGGUGGAAGGAACAGGCUGGCACCAUACUGCAGACCAAAACAACUUCCAGACAAGUGGCAGCAUGACCUAUUCAUUGGAGGCUUCAGGGGUCAAAACCAUGAGGAUACUGGUGGGAAGCUGUUCCUGUCAAAUCUGCACAUUGGAGUGUCAGAUGCUGAUAUUCAGCUACUCUUUGCUGAAUUUGGAACGUUGAAAAAAUCUGCUGUGCACUAUGAUCGCUGUGGACGAAGUUUAGGGACAGCACAUGUGCACUUUGAAAGGAAAGCAGAUGCCCUGAAGGCUAUGAGAGAGUACAAUGGCGCCCCUUUGGAUGGCCGCCCUAUGAACAUCCACCUUGUCACCUCACAGAUUGAUAGACAAGGAAGACCUGCACAAAACAGUGAUAGGGGCGGCAUGACAAGAAACCCUGGCUCUGGAGUAUUAGGUGGUGGAGGCACCAAGAGAUGGACACUUGGAGGCAGCCAGGGAAGCGGGAGAGGCACCAGCAGGAACUCAAAACUGCAGCAGCAGCAGCAGCAGCAGCAGCAGCAGGAGCCAGAGGAGCAGAAGCACCAGAAGCAGCAACAGCAGAAGCAGCAGCAACAGCAGCAGAAGCAGGGACAGAAUCACCAGCACCAGCAGCAGCAGAAGGAGCAGCAGCAGCAACAGCAGCAGAAGGAACUGCAGCAGCUAUCUGUAGAGGAGCUGGACGCCCAGCUGGAUUAUUAUCAGGAUAUGAUGGACACCAGCUAA
Molecule: long non-coding RNA, 874 nt
Filed under: Mus musculus (house mouse)
Lineage: Eukaryota; Metazoa; Chordata; Mammalia; Rodentia; Muridae
Description: long non-coding RNA chr10:100330539-100331413
Source: RNAcentral